Molecule: ribosomal RNA, 468 nt
Filed under: uncultured bacterium
Lineage: Bacteria
Description: partial 16S ribosomal RNA
Rfam family: Bacterial small subunit ribosomal RNA
Source: RNAcentral
GACGAACGCUGGCGGCGUGCUUAACACAUGCAAGUCGAACGGAAAGGCCCUGCUUUUGUGGGGUGCUCGAGUGGCGAACGGGUGAGUAACACGUGAGUAACCUGCCCUUGACUUUGGGAUAACUUCAGGAAACUGGGGCUAAUACCGGAUAGGAGUUCCUGCUGCAGGGUGGGGGUUGGAAAGUUUCGGCGGUUGGGGAUGGACUCGCGGCUUAUCAGCUUGUUGGUGGGGUAGUGGCUUACCAAGGCUUUGACGGGUAGCCGGCCUGAGAGGGUGACCGGCCACAUUGGGACUGAGAUACGGCCCAGACUCCUACGGGAGGCAGCAGUGGGGAAUAUUGCACAAUGGGCGGAAGCCUGAUGCAGCAACGCCGCGUGCGGGAUGACGGCCUUCGGGUUGUAAACCGCUUUCGCCUGUGACGAAGCGUGAGUGACGGUAAUGGGUAAAGAAGCACCGGCUAACUACGUG